Dreissena polymorpha is the source of this 1387-nucleotide long non-coding RNA. RefSeq lists it as uncharacterized. The record is from RefSeq and is a predicted model, not a curated record. Lineage: Eukaryota; Metazoa; Mollusca; Bivalvia; Myida; Dreissenidae. The transcript is spliced from 2 exons.
UUUUUAUACGCCCGUCUAUGACGGGACGUAUUAUGGUAUACCCCGCGUCCGUCUGUCCGUCCGUCCGUCUGUCCGUCCGUAUGUCUGUUAAUGUCGUACGCUACGUCAAAUAUCCUUUGACAGAUUUUCUUCAAAUUUUAACACAAUCUUAAUAUUGAUAAACCCUGAUCCCCUUUCGUUUUUGACGGAAUUCUGAAUUGUCGUUCCAGAGUUAUGGGACUUUGUUCGUCAAAAUUUCGUGAUUUCAUUGAAUGUCCUACUGUAGCUAUAUAAAAAUGUUAAAGUUGUUAUAACUUUGGUAUGCUUGGACCUAGAGUCUUGAAACUUGACAUGAAGGUUGGCCAGAACUAGUAAGUAACCACUGGACAUUUCAAGGUCAUUCAUUUGAAGGUCAAGGUCACUGUGACCUUGAAUGUAAAAAUGUUAAAGUUCUUAUUUCAUGUUAUAACUUUGGUAUGCUUGUACCUAGAGUCUUCAAACUUGAAAUAAAGAUUGGCCAGUACUAGAAGAUGACCACUGGUCAUUUCAAUGUCAUUCAUUUGAAGGUCAAGGUCACUGUGACCUUAAAUGUUAAAAUGUUAAAAUUGUUAUAACUUUGGUAUGCUUGGACAUAGAGUCUUCAAACUUGACAUGAAGGUUUGCAAGCACACUUAGAUGACCACUGGUCAUUAUAAGGUCAUUCAUUCUAAGGUCAAGGUCACACAAGGUCACUGUGACCUUAAAUGUUAAAAUGUUAAAAUUGUUAUAACUUUGGUAUGCUUGGACAUAGAGUCUUCAAACUUGACAUGAAGGUUUGCAAGCACACUUAGAUGACCACUGGUCAUUUCAAGGUCAUUCAUUCUAAGGUCAAGGUCACUGUGACCUUAAAUGUUAUUGUUGUUCAUGUAUCCUACCGUAGCUCAAAUAUCCCCCGAUGGAUUUUUUAUACGCCCGUCUAUGACGGGACGUAUUAUGGUAUACCCCGCGUCCGUCUGUCCGUCCGUCCGUCCGUCCGUCCGUCUGUUAAUGUCGUACACUACGUCAAAUAUCCUUUGACAGAUUUUCUUCAAAUUUUAACACAAUCUUAAUAUUGAUAAACCCUGAUCCCCUUUCGUUUUUGACGGAAUUCUGAAUUGUCGUUCCAGAGUUAUGGGACUUUGUUCGUCAAAAUUUCGUGAUUUCAUUGAAUGUCCUACUGUAGCUCAAAUAUCCUUCGAUGGAUUUUUUUCAAAUUUCAACACAAUCUUAAUAUUGAUAAACCCUGAUCCCCUUUCGUUUUUGACGGAAUUCUGAAUUGUCGUUCCAGAGUUAUGGGACUUUGUUCGUCAAAAUUUCGUGAUUUCCAUGCUCAUGUACUUAUAAAAUAAACCAUGUAUUCAAAUACAAAUAAACUGAAGUAAAAAAAUUA